RNAcentral lists this ribosomal RNA (450 nucleotides) under uncultured bacterium. RNAcentral describes it as "bacterial SSU rRNA". It matches the Rfam family "Bacterial small subunit ribosomal RNA", at positions 330 to 793 of the family's 1533-position model. The record is from RNAcentral.
GCCAGACUCCUACGGGAGGCAGCAGUGGGGCCUCUUGGGCAAUGGCUGCCCGUCUGACCCAGCCCCGCCGCGUGCCGGCAGAAGGCUUUCGGGUUGUAAACUUCUUUUAAGGGGGACGAGCAGAAGAAGGUACCCCUUGAAUAAGCCACGGCUAACUACGUGCCAGCAGCCGCGGUCAUACGUAGGAUCCGAGCAUUAUCCGGAGUGACUGGGUGUAAAGAGUUGCGGAGGUGGCAUAGUAAGUAGCUAGUGAAAUCUGGUGGCUCAACCAUUCAGACUAUUAACUAAACUGCUAAGCUCGAGACCGUUAGGGUUAACUGGAAUUUCUAGUGUAGGAGUGAAAUCCGUAGAUAUUAGAAGGAACACCGAUAGCGGAGGCAGGUUACUGGGACGGUUCUGACACUAAGGCACGAACGCGUAGGGAGCACACGGGAUUAGAUACCCCUGUAA